This 73-nucleotide transfer RNA is filed under the name Felis catus (domestic cat). It matches the Rfam family "tRNA". From Rfam's summary of the family: Transfer RNA (tRNA) molecules are approximately 80 nucleotides in length. Their secondary structure includes four short double-helical elements and three loops (D, anti-codon, and T loops). RNAcentral also lists the same sequence under 2 other names. The record is from Rfam by way of RNAcentral. Lineage: Eukaryota; Metazoa; Chordata; Mammalia; Carnivora; Felidae.
GUCUGGCUGGCUCAGUCAGUAGAGCACAUGACUCUUAAUCUCGGAGUUGUGGGUUCGAGCCCCAUAUUGGGUG